RNAcentral lists this ribosomal RNA (482 nucleotides) under uncultured bacterium. RNAcentral describes it as "partial 16S ribosomal RNA". It matches the Rfam family "Bacterial small subunit ribosomal RNA", at positions 28 to 507 of the family's 1533-position model. The record is from RNAcentral.
GACGAACGCUGGCGGCGUGCUUAACACAUGCAAGUCGAACGAUGAAGAAGAGAAACGCGAACUUCGGUUCAAAUUUCACUUCGGAUUAGUGGCAGACGGGUGAGUAACGCGUGAGCAACCUACCUCUUACAAAGGGAUAGCCGCGGGAAACCGUGAUUAAUACCAUAUGACACAUUCAUAAGUCAUCUUAAGAAUGUUAAAGCUACGGCGGUAAGAGAUGGGCUCGCGUCCCAUUAGCUAGUUGGUGAGGUAACGGCCCACCAAGGCGACGAUGGGGAACCGGCAUGAGAGGGUGAACGGUCACAUUGGAACUGAGACACGGUCCAAACUCCUGCGGGAGGCAGCAGUGGGGAAUAUUGCACAAUGGAGGGAACUCUGAUGCAGCGACGCCGCGUGAGCGAUGAAGGAAUUCGUUUCGUACAGCUCUGUUCUAUGGGAAGAAAAGGACUGUACCAUAGGAGAAAGCCCCGGCUAAAUACGUG